Molecule: ribosomal RNA, 3022 nt
Filed under: Erwinia amylovora
Lineage: Bacteria; Pseudomonadati; Pseudomonadota; Gammaproteobacteria; Enterobacterales; Erwiniaceae
Description: bacterial LSU rRNA
Rfam family: Bacterial large subunit ribosomal RNA
Source: RNAcentral
GGGUUGUGAGGUUAAGCGACUAAGCGUACACGGUGGAUGCCCAGGCAGUCAGAGGCGAUGAAGGGCGUGCUAAUCUGCGAUAAGCGUCGGUAAGGUGAUAUGAACCGCAACAACCGACGAUACCCGAAUGGGGAAACCCAGUGCAAUCCGUUGCACUAUCAUGUCAUGAAUACAUAGUGGCAUGAGGCGAACCGGGGGAACUGAAACAUCUAAGUACCCCGAGGAAAAGAAAUCAACCGAGAUUCCCCCAGUAGCGGCGAGCGAACGGGGAACAGCCCAGAACCUGAAUCAGUUUGUGCCUUAGUGGAAGCGUCUGGAAAGUCGCGCAGUAAAGGGUGACAGCCCCGUACACAAAAAGGCACUUGCUGUGAGUUCGAUGAGUAGGGCGGGACACGUGACAUCCUGUCUGAAUAUGGGGGGACCAUCCUCCAAGGCUAAAUACUCCUGACUGACCGAUAGUGAACCAGUACCGUGAGGGAAAGGCGAAAAGAACCCCGGCGAGGGGAGUGAAACAGAACCUGAAACCGUGUACGUACAAGCAGUGGGAGCACCUUCGUGGUGUGACUGCGUACCUUUUGUAUAAUGGGUCAGCGACUUAUAUUCUGUAGCAAGGUUAACCGUAUAGGGGAGCCGCAGGGAAACCGAGUCUUAACUGGGCGUUAAGUUGCAGGGUAUAGACCCGAAACCCGGUGAUCUAGCCAUGGGCAGGUUGAAGGUUGGGUAACACUAACUGGAGGACCGAACCGACUAAUGUUGAAAAAUUAGCGGAUGACCUGUGGCUGGGGGUGAAAGGCCAAUCAAACCGGGAGAUAGCUGGUUCUCCCCGAAAGCUAUUUAGGUAGCGCCUCGUGAACUCAUCUCCGGGGGUAGAGCACUGUUUCGGCUAGGGGGCCAUCCCGGCUUACCAACCCGAUGCAAACUGCGAAUACCGGAGAAUGUUAUCACGGGAGACACACGGCGGGUGCUAACGUCCGUCGUGAAGAGGGAAACAACCCAGACCGCCAGCUAAGGUCCCAAAGUCAUGGUUAAGUGGGAAACGAUGUGGGAAGGCACAGACAGCCAGGAUGUUGGCUUAGAAGCAGCCAUCAUUUAAAGAAAGCGUAAUAGCUCACUGGUCGAGUCGGCCUGCGCGGAAGAUGUAACGGGGCUAAACCAUGCACCGAAGCUGCGGCAGCGGACGUAUCACCCAAGCAGAUUCACUGAAGUGGAUAACGAUUGACGGAGCGCAGCGACGUCAAUGCGCCAUCAAAGUCGAGUCGACUUCGGGAUACGUCCGUUGGGUAGGGGAGCGUUCUGUAAGCCGUCGAAGGUGUGCUGUGAGGCAUGCUGGAGGUAUCAGAAGUGCGAAUGCUGACAUAAGUAACGAUAAAGCGGGUGAAAAGCCCGCUCGCCGGAAGACCAAGGGUUCCUGUCCAACGUUAAUCGGGGCAGGGUGAGUCGACCCCUAAGGCGAGGCCGAAAGGCGUAGUCGAUGGGAAACGGGUUAAUAUUCCCGUACUGGGUGUUACUGCGAAGGGGGGACGGAGAAGGCUAUGUUAGCCGGGCGACGGUUGUCCCGGUUUAAGCGUGCAGGCUUGAGUUCCAGGCAAAUCCGGAACUCUUUAAGGCUGAGGCGUGAUGACGAGGCACCACGGUGCUGAAGUAACAAAUGCCCUGCUUCCAGGAAAAGCCUCUAAGCAUCAGGUAACAUCCAAUCGUACCCCAAACCGACACAGGUGGUCAGGUAGAGAAUACCAAGGCGCUUGAGAGAACUCGGGUGAAGGAACUAGGCAAAAUGGUGCCGUAACUUCGGGAGAAGGCACGCUGGCGCGUAGGUGAAGCGACUUGCUCGUGGAGCUGAAGCCAGUCGAAGAUACCAGCUGGCUGCAACUGUUUAUUAAAAACACAGCACUGUGCAAACACGAAAGUGGACGUAUACGGUGUGACGCCUGCCCGGUGCCGGAAGGUUAAUUGAUGGGGUUAUCCGUAAGGAGAAGCUCUUGAUCGAAGCCCCGGUAAACGGCGGCCGUAACUAUAACGGUCCUAAGGUAGCGAAAUUCCUUGUCGGGUAAGUUCCGACCUGCACGAAUGGCGUAAUGAUGGCCAGGCUGUCUCCACCCGAGACUCAGUGAAAUUGAACUCGCUGUGAAGAUGCAGUGUACCCGCGGCAAGACGGAAAGACCCCGUGAACCUUUACUACAGCUUGACACUGAACAUUGAGCCUUGAUGUGUAGGAUAGGUGGGAGGCUUUGAAGCGUGGACGCCAGUCUGCGUGGAGCCAACCUUGAAAUACCACCCUUUAACGUUUGAUGUUCUAACCUGGCGCCGUAAUCCGGCGUGGGGACAGUGUCUGGUGGGUAGUUUGACUGGGGCGGUCUCCUCCCAAAGAGUAACGGAGGAGCACGAAGGUCAGCUAAUCACGGUCGGACAUCGUGAGGUUAGUGCAAUGGCAUAAGCUGGCUUGACUGCGAGAGUGACGGCUCGAGCAGGUGCGAAAGCAGGUCAUAGUGAUCCGGUGGUUCUGAAUGGAAGGGCCAUCGCUCAACGGAUAAAAGGUACUCCGGGGAUAACAGGCUGAUACCGCCCAAGAGUUCAUAUCGACGGCGGUGUUUGGCACCUCGAUGUCGGCUCAUCACAUCCUGGGGCUGAAGUAGGUCCCAAGGGUACGGCUGUUCGCCGUUUAAAGUGGUACGCGAGCUGGGUUUAGAACGUCGUGAGACAGUUCGGUCCCUAUCUGCCGUGGGCGCUGGAAGAUUGAGAGGGGUUGCUCCUAGUACGAGAGGACCGGAGUGAACGCACCGCUGGUGUUCGGGUUGUCAUGCCAAUGGCAUUGCCCGGUAGCUAAGUGCGGAAAAGAUAAGCGCUGAAAGCAUCUAAGCGCGAAACUUGCCUCGAGAUGAAUCUUCCCUGACUCCUUGAGAGUCCUGAAGGGACGUUGAAGACGACGACGUUGAUAGGCCGGGUGUGUAAGCGCAGCGAUGCGUUGAGCUAACCGGUACUAAUGACCCGUGAGGCUUAACCUUACAACGCCAGAAGCGUUCUG